Molecule: ribosomal RNA, 253 nt
Filed under: uncultured bacterium
Lineage: Bacteria
Description: partial 16S ribosomal RNA
Rfam family: Bacterial small subunit ribosomal RNA
Source: RNAcentral
UACGUAGGGUGCAAGCGUUGUCCGGAAUUAUUGGGCGUAAAGAGCUCGUAGGCGGUUUGUCGCGUCGGCUGUGAAAUCCCGAGGCUCAACCUCGGGCCUGCAGUCGAUACGGGCAAACUAGAGUGUGGUAGGGGAGACUGGAAUUCCUGGUGUAGCGGUGAAAUGCGCAGAUAUCAGGAGGAACACCGGUGGCGAAGGCGGCGAUCUGGGUAGAUACUGACGCUGAGGUGCGAAAGCGUGGGGAGCAAACAGG